GAAGGGCGAAGUAUAACCAUAGCUACAUGCCUGUCUAUGUGGUUUGGUUCUAUGGAGUGGCUGCUGUAUUGUUUUGAUUAGGAUAAUCAUUUGGACAGGUAACGUAGCUACGGAUUAGCUACGUGAUCUAAGAUCUCCCCUGUAGUCAUAGAAGUCAUGGAUGAGCAGACAGGCUCUCCUGGAGCCAAUAACGACAACAACAGCCAAAGAAAUGGAGAUGAGAAGCCCCGACGUGGCAGCUGGACCAAGGGGAGGAAGAGGAAGAAGCCAAUGAAGGACAGCAAUGCACCCAAGGCCCCCCUAACGGGCUACGUUCGCUUCAUGAACGACAGACGAGAGCAGCUACGGGCAGAGCGUCCAGACGUGCCAUUUCCAGAGAUUACGAGGAUGCUGGGCAACGAGUGGAGCAAGCUGCCGCCCGAGGAGAAGCAGCGAUACUUGGAUGAGGCGGAGCGAGAUAAGGAGCGCUACAUGCGGGAGCUGGAGAAGUACCAGAAGACCGAGGCUUACAAACAUUUCACCAGGAAGGUUCAGGAGAAGCAGAAGGGCAAGCGGCACAGGGGAGAUGUUGGACACCAGGUAGCCAACGAGGCUCUUCAUGAGAAGGAUGCAGAAGGCAAGGACAGAACUGUUUUUGACAUACCAAUCUUCACAGAGGAGUUUCUCAACCACAGCAAAGCACGUGAAGCUGAGAUGCGGCAGCUGCGCAAAACCAACAUGGAGUAUGAGGAGCGUAACGCAGCGCUGCAGAAACACGUGGAGAGCAUGCGCGGGGCAGUAGAGAGGCUGGAAGGCGACGUGAUGCAAGAGAGAGGACGCAACGGCCUCCUCCACCAACACCUGGAGACCCUGCGCCAGGCACUCACCUCAAGCUUCUCCUCCGUACCUUUGCCAGCUAGUGGAGAGACGCCCACUCUUGACAGCAUUGACUCGUACAUGAAGAAGCUCCACAGCAUCAUAGUCAGUAACCCCCAGGAACAUGAGAAUCUCAUCAACACUGUGAGAGACGUGGUCAACCGUUUGGACAGAUAAUUGGACCAAGUCCCACUGAUUUGAUGGAUUGAGAGUCACAGUGACGUUCAGUAGAGGCUGCUCCUUGACGGGGAAUCUUCCGGACGAAAAACCUCUUUUAUUACUCUGCUAUUGUAAUGUAGGUGAAGGUUAUGUAGCGUCUCAUAUUUAUUUAUAAUUGUUAAAAAAUAACUUUUUAUAAAAUAAUGGUAGGACAUGAAACAGUUUCAUGUCACUCGUUGCGCCUGUUGUGUCUUCACUGUCCAUUUAUAGCAAAUGCUUCCACAGCAAUAUCUAAAGCAUCAUACAAAAUGUGCAAAAAUGUUCUGAUCAAAGAAAAAUGUAUCAGUGGGUUUGUGUUUCCAUUUCCAAGAAAACCUGUUGAGCAGACUUUCCUUUAUCCUACUCUGUUAAAGAGAAAACGUGCCAUUUAUUUUUUUUUCCUGUGUGAAAAAGUGUUUGUGUUUUCAAUAAACGUUAUUUACAUCAU
Molecule: RNA transcript, 1501 nt
Organism: Sander lucioperca (pikeperch)
Lineage: Eukaryota; Metazoa; Chordata; Actinopteri; Perciformes; Percidae
Gene: hmg20a
Gene name: high mobility group 20A
Exons: 10
Source: RefSeq, a predicted model, not a curated record